CGGGGAGGCGGUGGCCCGGACGGCUCGUGCGCGCCGUCGCCGCGCUCGAGGACCUCCGCCUCGCGGUCUUGCACCUCGCCGUCACCUCCGUCGGACAUGACGCCGUCGUGUACUGCUUCAACCUCAAGAUGGAGGAAGGGUGCGAGGUGGCGACGGCGGAUGAGGUGGCGACGGUGGUGCACCAGAUCUUCGCCUACGCCGCCGGCGCAUGCUGCUGACGACGACGGCAGCCGAGGAGGACGGGGACGGUAAGUCAAAACCACGGAGGCCGGGCGGGCAGGCAUGUGUCAUGUACACGACGAACGCGGGCGCAGAGGAGAGGACGACGGGCGGCCACGCCACCAGCUGAGGAGGAGGACAUGCGUACGUAGAGGUAGAGCAGGGGCAGCAGCGCUAGGGGACCAAGCAAGCUUGGCAGGUGCGGCCAUGGCAACGGCUGCGCUGCAUGCAGUGGUCCAUGCGUGCAGCGCAGAGACGAACAGGUGACCUCUACGGUAAAAUUGACUGUUGUUGUUACUUGGCUGGCAGGAUGAGAAGAAGGCUGAUGAGAGUGGUACAACAGUGUUGGGGUGGCAGGGCUAGCUGUAGACCUGUAGGUUUUUCUUUACCCCUUUUCUUUGGAGAGCCAUGCAUCCGUGCGUGCGUGUGUGUGUACGGUUUUAUAUAUAUAUACCACGCACAGUAUCGUGUGUAGUAGUUCCGUGUU
Molecule: long non-coding RNA, 706 nt
Organism: Sorghum bicolor (sorghum)
Lineage: Eukaryota; Viridiplantae; Streptophyta; Magnoliopsida; Poales; Poaceae
Exons: 2
Source: RefSeq, a predicted model, not a curated record